This 557-nucleotide ribosomal RNA is filed under the name Proteobacteria bacterium BvIRR066. RNAcentral describes it as "bacterial SSU rRNA". It matches the Rfam family "Bacterial small subunit ribosomal RNA", at positions 102 to 694 of the family's 1533-position model. Lineage: Bacteria; Pseudomonadati; Pseudomonadota. The record is from RNAcentral. RNAcentral also lists the same sequence under 2 other names.
ACGGGUGAGUAACGCGUGGGAAUCUACCGAGCCCUGCGGAAUAGCUCCGGGAAACUGGAAUUAAUACCGCAUACGCCCUACGGGGGAAAGAUUUAUCGGGGUUUGAUGAGCCCGCGUUGGAUUAGCUAGUUGGUGGGGUAAAGGCCUACCAAGGCGACGAUCCAUAGCUGGUCUGAGAGGAUGAUCAGCCACAUUGGGACUGAGACACGGCCCAAACUCCUACGGGAGGCAGCAGUGGGGAAUAUUGGACAAUGGGCGCAAGCCUGAUCCAGCCAUGCCGCGUGAGUGAUGAAGGCCCUAGGGUUGUAAAGCUCUUUCAACGGUGAAGAUAAUGACGGUAACCGUAGAAGAAGCCCCGGCUAACUUCGUGCCAGCAGCCGCGGUAAUACGAAGGGGGCUAGCGUUGUUCGGAAUUACUGGGCGUAAAGCGCACGUAGGCGGAUAUUUAAGUCAGGGGUGAAAUCCCGGGGCUCAACCUCGGAACUGCCUUUGAUACUGGGUAUCUUGAGUAUGGAAGAGGUAAGUGGAAUUGCGAGUGUAGAGGUGAAAUUCGUAGA